UACGAAGGGGGCUAGCGUUGCUCGGAAUUACUGGGCGUAAAGGGCGCGUAGGCGGACAGUUUAGUCAGAGGUGAAAGCCCAGGGCUCAACCUUGGAAUUGCCUUUGAUACUGGCUGUCUUGAGUUCGGGAGAGGUGAGUGGAAUGCCGAGUGUAGAGGUGAAAUUCGUAGAUAUUCGGAGGAACACCAGUGGCGAAGGCGACUCACUGGCCCGAUACUGACGCUGAGGCGCGAAAGCCAGGGGAGCAAACGGG
This 253-nucleotide ribosomal RNA is filed under the name uncultured bacterium. Its description in RNAcentral is "partial 16S ribosomal RNA". It matches the Rfam family "Bacterial small subunit ribosomal RNA", at positions 524 to 776 of the family's 1533-position model. The record is from RNAcentral.